UACAUAGGGGGCAAGCGUUAUCCGGAAUUAUUGGGCGUAAAGGGUGCGUAGGUGGUUAUUUAAGUCUUUGGUGUAAGUGCAGUGCUUAACGCUGUGAUGCUAAAGAAACUGGGUAACUUGAGUGUGGUAGAGGCAAGUGGAAUUCCAUGUGUAGCGGUAAAAUGCGUAAAUAUAUGGAGGAACACCAGUGGCGAAGGCGGCUUGCUGGGCCACAACUGACACUGAGGCACGAAAGCGUGGGGAGCAAACAGG
RNAcentral lists this ribosomal RNA (252 nucleotides) under uncultured bacterium. RNAcentral describes it as "partial 16S ribosomal RNA". It matches the Rfam family "Bacterial small subunit ribosomal RNA", at positions 524 to 776 of the family's 1533-position model. The record is from RNAcentral.